CCGGACGCCCGGCCGAGCGGCCCGAUUCCCUUCGGAGGAGCGGGGUUUUCAAGCCGGGAGCUGCAGCCCAAGUAACCUGGAUGAUGGGGAAAUCACGUGGAAACCGCUUUAACCCUUUGAUGGUUAGAAAGACGGUGUAGCCAGAAAGGAGAGGAGGGAUCCCGAAGCCCAGGACAGAGCCUGAGGCCAGAAAGAGAGAGGAAGAAUUAAGAAAAUCCCUUUCAGGGGGCUUCCCUGAUGGUUCAGUGGCUGAGACUCCGUGCUCCCAAUGCCUGGCUUCCAUCCCUGGUCA
Long non-coding RNA from Budorcas taxicolor (takin), 292 nucleotides. RefSeq lists it as uncharacterized. NCBI's taxonomy places the organism in Eukaryota, Metazoa, Chordata, Mammalia, Artiodactyla, Bovidae. The transcript has 3 exons. The record is from RefSeq and is a predicted model, not a curated record.